CGCGCAGGCGGUCGUUUAAGUCGAAUGUGAAAGCCCCCGGCUCAACUGGGGAGGGUCAUUCGAUACUGAUCGACUUGAAGGCAGGAGAGAGAAGUGGAAUUCCCGGUGUAGUGGUGAAAUGCGUAGAUAUCGGGAGGAACACCAGUGGCGAAGGCGACUUCUUGGCCUGUUCUUGACGCUGAGGCGCGAAAGCUGGGGGAGCAAACA
Molecule: ribosomal RNA, 207 nt
Filed under: uncultured bacterium
Lineage: Bacteria
Description: partial 16S ribosomal RNA
Rfam family: Bacterial small subunit ribosomal RNA
Source: RNAcentral